UAUAGAUUAAUCUAUAAGAGGUAGGGGAGCAUUCUAAUCUGCGCAGAAGGUGUACUGUAAGGUAUGCUGGAGCGAUUAGAAAAGAAAAUGUAGGCAUAAGUAACGAUAAUGCGGGCGAGAAACCCGCACACCGAAAGACCAAGGAUUCCUCAGCUAUGCUAAUCAGCUGAGGGUUAGUCGGGGCCUAAGGCGAACCCGAAAGGGGUAGUCGAUGGACAAGCAGUUAAUAUUCUGCUACUUGCUUUAAAUUAAAAGAGACGGAGAAGGAAAUCUAGUGCGUACUGACGGAAUAGUACGUUGAACCAUCUGUAAGGAUGGGAUAGUACACCAAAGCUACGGUGGCGGUGAUAAUCUAGAGGCCGUUCUUCCAAGAAAAUCAAUUAAAGCAACCCGUACCGUAAACCGACACAGGUAGUUGGGAUGAGAAAUCUAAGGUGCUCGAGAGAUUCAUGGCUAAGGAACUAGGCAAAAUGGGCCCGUAACUUCGGGAGAAGGGUCGCCCCCAACUUCGGUUGGGGGCCGCAGUGAAGAGGUCCAGGCGACUGUUUAUCAAAAACACAGGGCUCUGCUAAAUCGAGAGAUGCAGUAUAGGGCCUGACACCUGCCCGGUGCUGGAAGGUUAAGAGGAGAUGUUAGCUUCGGCAAAGCAUUGAAUUGAAGCCCCAGUAAACGGCGGCCGUAACUAUAACGGUCCUAAGGUAGCGAAAUUCCUUGUCGGGUAAGUUCCGACCUGCACGAAUGGUGCAACGAUCUGGACACUGUCUCAGCCAUGACCUCGGUGAAAUUGUAGUAUCGGUGAAGAUGCCGAUUACCCGCUGUGGGACGAAAAGACCCCGUGAACCUUUACUAUAGCUUAGUAUUGACUUUGGAUAAGUGAUGUGUAGGAUAGGUGGGAGACAUUGAAGCGGCCUCGCUAGGGGCAGUGGAGUCAUUGUUGAAAUACCACCCUUUACUUGUUUGAAGCCUAACCCCCAAUGGGGGGACAUUACUUGGUGGGUAGUUUGACUGGGGUGGUCGCCUCCAAAAGAGUAACGGAGGCUUCUAAAGGUUCCCUCAGCACGCUUGGUAACCGUGCGUAGAGUGCAAUGGCAUAAGGGAGCUUGACUGAGAGACCUACAAGUCGAUCAGGUACGAAAGUAGAGCAUAGUGAUCCGGUGGUUCCGCAUGGAAGGGCCAUCGCUCAAAGGAUAAAAGGUACUCCGGGGAUAACAGGCUGAUCUCCCCCAAGAGCUCACAUCGACGGGGGGGUUUGGCACCUCGAUGUCGGCUCGUCACAUCCUGGGGCUGGAGAAGGUCCCAAGGGUUGGGCUGUUCGCCCAUUAAAGUGGCACGCGAGCUGGGUUCAGAACGUCGUGAGACAGUUCGGUCUCUAUCUACAGUGGGCGUUAGAAAUUUGAGUGGAUCUGACUCUAGUACGAGAGGACCGAGUUGGACAAACCUCUGGUGUAUCUGUUGUUCCGCCAGGAGCAUAGCAGAGUAGCUACGUUUGGAAGGGAUAAGCGCUGAAAGCAUAUAAGCGCGAAACCCACCACAAGAUGAGAUUUCUUUAAAGGAUCCCCAAAGACGAUGGGGUUGAUAGGUCACAGGUGUAAAGGCAGUAAUGUCAUAGCCAAGUGAUACUAAUUAUCCGAAGAGCUUAUCUAU
This 1644-nucleotide ribosomal RNA is filed under the name Psychroflexus sediminis. Its description in RNAcentral is "bacterial LSU rRNA". It matches the Rfam family "Bacterial large subunit ribosomal RNA", at positions 1209 to 2925 of the family's 2925-position model. Lineage: Bacteria; Pseudomonadati; Bacteroidota; Flavobacteriia; Flavobacteriales; Flavobacteriaceae. The record is from RNAcentral.